This 593-nucleotide ribosomal RNA is filed under the name Bacillus sp. CH409a_13C. RNAcentral describes it as "bacterial SSU rRNA". It matches the Rfam family "Bacterial small subunit ribosomal RNA", at positions 58 to 632 of the family's 1533-position model. Lineage: Bacteria; Bacillati; Bacillota; Bacilli; Caryophanales; Bacillaceae. The record is from RNAcentral.
CAAGUCGAGCGAAUGGAUUAAGAGCUUGCUCUUAUGAAGUUAGCGGCGGACGCCUGAGUACACGUGGGUAACCUGCCCAUAAGACUGGGAUAACUCCGGGAAACCGGGGCUAAUACCGGAUAACAUUUUGAACCGCAUGGUUCGAAAUUGAAAGGCGGCUUCGGCUGUCACUUAUGGAUGGACCCGCGUCGCAUUAGCUAGUUGGUGAGGUAACGGCUCACCAAGGCAACGAUGCGUAGCCGACCUGAGAGGGUGAUCGGCCACACUGGGACUGAGACACGGCCCAGACUCCUACGGGAGGCAGCAGUAGGGAAUCUUCCGCAAUGGACGAAAGUCUGACGGAGCAACGCCGCGUGAGUGAUGAAGGCUUUCGGGUCGUAAAACUCUGUUGUUAGGGAAGAACAAGUGCUAGUUGAAUAAGCUGGCACCUUGACGGUACCUAACCAGAAAGCCACGGCUAACUACGUGCCAGCAGCCGCGGUAAUACGUAGGUGGCAAGCGUUAUCCGGAAUUAUUGGGCGUAAAGCGCGCGCAGGUGGUUUCUUAAGUCUGAUGUGAAAGCCCACGGCUCAACCGUGGAGGGUCAUUGGAAA